Molecule: ribosomal RNA, 468 nt
Filed under: uncultured bacterium
Lineage: Bacteria
Description: partial 16S ribosomal RNA
Rfam family: Bacterial small subunit ribosomal RNA
Source: RNAcentral
GACGAACGCUGGCGGCGUGCUUAACACAUGCAAGUCGAACGAAAAGGCCCUGCUUUUGUGGGGUGCUCGAGUGGCGAACGGGUGAGUAACACGUGAGUAACCUGCCCUUGACUUUGGGAUAACUUCAGGAAACUGGGGCUAAUACCGGAUAGGAGCUCCUGCUGCAUGGUGGGGGUUGGAAAGUUUCGGCGGUUGGGGAUGGACUCGCGGCUUAUCAGCUUGUUGGUGGGGUAGUGGCUUACCAAGGCUUUGACGGGUAGCCGGCCUGAGAGGGUGACCGGCCACAUUGGGACUGAGAUACGGCCCAGACUCCUACGGGAGGCAGCAGUGGGGAAAAUUGCACAAUGGGCGGAAGCCUGAUGCAGCAACGCCGCGUGCGGGAUGACGGCCUUCGGGUUGUAAACCGCUUUCGCCUGUGACGAAGCGUGAGUGACGGUAAUGGGUAAAGAAGCACCGGCUAACUACGUG